CAAAAACAUGGACAGUGAACUACCAGAGACGGGUACCUAAAAAUAACAGCAAUCCCCAGGAUGUGUGCCAGUUGGAUGGAGCUUGUGCUAUGAUAUCAUCUGUUCGGCUUUGUCAGUGUCUCAGGGACAGAAUCCAGAAACAUGCUGUUUUUUACAGCACAGACGGAUUGAUCAAUUCCAUUCAUGGGCCAUCUGUGGGCACCAGGUUGAAACUACUUUCUAAAGACUUCAGAGAUCUGGAUGUUAGAUCUUACCGACGUCAGCUGGAAAAGUUGCUUGACAAGGACAUAAAAACAGACAAGAAGCAUUUUCUGCGAACAUGGAAUAGAAUCAUUUCCAAGCUAGCAUAGGUAAUAAAUGUUUCCAAAUGACGGAACA
This 378-nucleotide long non-coding RNA is filed under the name Pogona vitticeps (central bearded dragon). RNAcentral describes it as "lncRNA (ENSPVIG00000009394.1)". Lineage: Eukaryota; Metazoa; Chordata; Lepidosauria; Squamata; Agamidae. The record is from RNAcentral.